CCUGAGCUGAAAUCAAGAGUCAGAUGCUCAACCGACUGAGCCACCCUGGCGCCUGAAGUUGUUUUUUAAGUCUGAUGUUACCUCUAUAUCAUUUACCUACAUUGUAGUUGGGGAUGUACUCCAUUAUUCCUAAGAAUACCAUAGAUAGUGAUAGUCAUACCCCAUUUCUGGAAGAAUUUUUAGCUGGGCAUGUGGCCAUCCAAAAUAAAUUUCCCAGCCUUCUUUGAAGAUAAGUGCAUGUGCCCAAUGGCCCUGCGAUCCUAAGUAGAAAUAACGUGUCCAGCUUCCAGGUUGUAACCUUAAAAGGAGAGGGGCGUGUCUUCCAGCUCCUCUCUUCCCCGUUCCCUCUGGCUGGAAUGUGAAAUUCCAGCUAUCCCAGGCCAUAUGGAUGAGGCUGCACGCCGGGGCUGGCAGAGCCAUGAGGCAGAUGUGGCCUGGGCCUGGCACCAAACACUGGACAGCUUCACUUGGACUGCCGACGUCAGAGAGAAGUUUCCCUCUGGGACUAGUUACAGACUCUGAAUCCAUCCCCUAAUUCCGACACCCAGCCCUGAGCAGUCAGAAAUGAAAGGGCUGGAAGCAUCAUCCCGGGGUCAGUGGCCUGGUGGUAAAAAAUGUGAUCGAGUCACCUCAUUUGUAGAACAAAUGACAGUACUUUGGCUGUCACAGUGAUUCCUGUUUAGUAAAUGGGAACAGUUCAAGAAGUGCUCUUUCCUCACCAUCCGAGUCCUCAUUUUCAUACUUCAAGUAGAGGCAGGGAUCAAAAGCUCUGGACUUGGUGCCAGACAACCUUGAGUUUGAAACUUCAGCCCCGUCACUGACUGUCUGACUACUGUCCCCAUACCUAUGUCAUAAGGCCAUUAUGAAGAUGUAGUGAGAUAAGAUGCACAGAACAUGGCCAGAGGAAGCACCAAAUCAGAGUCCUACACUAUUGUUUGUGUGUAGGACUUUUUCCCUAGCAACCGACAGAAACCUAAUUGAAGCUGGCUUUCGCAUUUUGUGAUCUCUAAGCAGCAUCCUGGGCAUUAUUGGGCUUUGCAGCUCGUUAAGAGAAGCCACCACCAAAUCGUGUUCCUGCAGCAUUUCCGGGUAGCGGGACACCGCUCGCUCAAUCCUCGCCGACCGGCGCACGGGAGUGAUCAGCUUCAUGUCGUGCACUUCUGCUAUUCCACUUAUCCUGUGAGACAGAAAGAGAGAAAGACAAGACUUUUCAGAUUCCGUUUUAUUGGCCAGCUCUUCUAUUGAUGUUAUAUUCGUCUCAGCAACUGAAGAGUCAGAG
Prionailurus viverrinus (fishing cat) is the source of this 1279-nucleotide long non-coding RNA. RefSeq lists it as uncharacterized. NCBI's taxonomy places the organism in Eukaryota, Metazoa, Chordata, Mammalia, Carnivora, Felidae. The record is from RefSeq and is a predicted model, not a curated record. The transcript has 3 exons.